CUCGUAGGCGGUUCGCCGCGUCCGGUGUGAAAGUCCAUCGCUUAACGGUGGAUCCGCGCCGGGUACGGGCGGGCUUGAGUGCGGUAGGGGAGACUGGAAUUCCCGGUGUAACGGUGGAAUGUGUAGAUAUCGGGAAGAACACCAAUGGCGAAGGCAGGUCUCUGGGCCGUUACUGACGCUGAGGAGCGAAAGCGUGGGGAGCGAACA
Molecule: ribosomal RNA, 207 nt
Filed under: uncultured bacterium
Lineage: Bacteria
Description: partial 16S ribosomal RNA
Rfam family: Bacterial small subunit ribosomal RNA
Source: RNAcentral